GAAAAAAGUUUCUUUUUGAUUUUUUUAACUUGUAUCUUCUUUUUUUCAAAUACUUUCAAAAGUUAAUUAUCUCCACAAAUGUGGAUUCAAUCCAUAUAAAAACCAAACUUUGUCAAGUAAGCUGAGUCAUUCAAGCAAACUUGGAUUUGCAGGAGGACAAUCUUUCAGGUAUCAACAGAGCCCUAGAUGGCUCUUCCCUCCUCAAGGGGGGACUCAAGGGACUCUUCUUCAGUCCCAAGCCAGGGAGGAGCCCUUCUGCAGACAACCCAGAGACUGACGUAGGAAUCUCUUCUACAGCAUCUCUGAUUGGGUGAGGUAUUCCUUAGCUCAGGAAAUGGCCCAUUUCAUUGCUGAGCAUGCACUUCAUGAUGUUAAAAAGCUUUUUUUAAAUUGAAUUGAAGCCCAGAUUUAUAUAAUUUUCACUCAUUUAUCAUAGUUUUGCCUUUUGGCAAAACAAAACUACUGUCUUUUCUAUCCCAGAGUGUUGUGAACAUUCGAAGACUUCCCCGUACCCUUUCAUUGAUCCUCUUGCCUCUAGCUCCUUUAGCCACUUCCAAGCAAGACGUGGUUUCUAGAUCCCUUCACCUUUGAAGAGUGAAGAACUGUGGAGGUAUGCUUAAGGGUAAAAUUAAUUUUAUAUUUUUUAAGUCGUUAAAGGAAAACCCAAGUUUAUGGAAUCAUUUGGCGCUAUCCAAAUUGAGCUGCUGACUUGACUAUUUUGGGAAAAGUCUCCACUUUUGAGAUGAAAAGCACAUCCAUUUACUUGAAACAAGAUUACUAAAAUGUUCUAAUAGUCAUUAACAGUUUCUUCUACAUGCUUAAAGUGUUUGUUAGCAGGCCUGUUUCUUAUAAUUCAGAAUUAUCUAUGGAAACAGACAUUUUCACUCUAAACAUCUAAUGAAUCAACUGAUUUACUUAGAGCUUUUUUAAAUUCAAUCAGCAGGUAUUUGUUGAGUGUUGACUGUGACCUUGGCAUUCUGCUAGACACUGUGACAAUGAACAAGGACAGUAUCAGUUCUUGACCUUAGAGGAAGGUGCCGUUGAUUGAGGAGUCACACACAGUAUUACUGUGAUAGGUGUUAAGGAGAAAACCCAUGAAAAGCCAUGAAAGGACAGAACAGACACAUCUAGUCCAACCUGGAGGCUCAAGAAAGGUAUCUUAGUCAGCUUAGGCUUCUAUCACAAAAUACCGUGCAGACUCGGUGGCUUAAACAACAGACAUUUCUUUCUUAUGGUUCUGGGCACUGGGAAGUCCAAGACCAAGGAGCCUACAGAUUUGGUUCCUUGUGAGGGCCCUCUUCCUAGCCUGUAAAUGGCCAGUUUCUGGCAGUCCUCCAUGACCAAGAGAGGAAGAUCAAUUCUAUGUACAAACUAAAAAAAAAUAACAACAACUCAUAGAUACAGACAACAGAUCGGUGGUUGCCAGAGGCAGUGGGUGAGAGGUGGGCAAAAUGAGUGAAGGGGGUCAAUAGGUGCAAACUUCUAGUUAUAAAAUAAAUAAAUCCUGGGAUGUAAGGUACAGCGUGGUGACUAGUUAAUAAUACUGUAUUACAUAUUUGAAAGUUGCUAAGAGAGUAGAUCUUAAAGAUUCACAAGAAAAAAAAAUUGUAACUGUGAUGAUGGAUGUUAACUAGACAUAUUGUGGUGAUAAUUUCACAAUAUACACAAAUAUCAGUCAUUAUGUUGUACACAUGAAACUAAUAUAAUGUUAUAUGUCAAUUAUAUCUCAAUAAAAAAGAAAAAGGAAAAUAAGUGAGGGAGAGAAGACAAGUAGUAGAUUCACAUUUCAGCCUGCAAACAAAAGCAUCCACUUACAAAGACACUAAUCCUAUCAUGGGGGCUCCACUUCACGACCUCCUCUAAACCUAAUUACCUCCCAAGGGCCCCACCUCCUUCUACCAUCACAUUGAGGGUUAAGACUUCAACAUAUGAAUUUUGGAGGCACAUAAACAUUCAGUCCAUAACUGAGGGCUUCCCCAAGGAAGUGAUGUUGGAGUUGUAAUAUGAAAAAUAAGUGGAAAUUAACCACACAAUGAUGUGGGAGAGAAAACUGUGGCAAAGAGGCAACCACGAGCGGAGGUUCUGUAGCACAAGAAUGCAAAGCAUGGCUGAGAAGUUAACAUGAGCAGAUUGUGGCUGGAACACUGCCAUGGGGAGUUGGGGAGAGAGAUACAAGAUGAAUCUGAAGAGCAUGGCUUAGUCCACACCAAGCAGGGCCUUGUGGGUCAUGUUAAACAUUGUUUUCCUUAUCCUAAGAAUAAGGAGAAGUCUUUAAUGACUUUUGUCAGAGAAGUUCUAAUGUUAGAAAGCUCACUCCGGAAAUAAUAUGGGGAAUGAACUGGAGUAGGGUGCCAGGAGAACAUGAGAGUAAUCCGAGUGGCACCUGACAGUGGGUGUGUGAGAGUAGUGUCUGCAGAAAUGGAAAGAAUUUGAUAGAUUUGAGAGACAUUUAGGGGGAAAAACUGAAGUGACUUGGGAUGCAGGGGUCAAGGGAGAGCAAGGUGUCAAGGGUGAGCUCUUGAAUUCUACUUUUGUGCAAAGGAUUGAAUGGUGGUGCACUUGAGUGUGACUGGAACACACAGAGAGAAGCAAGUGUGAGAAGGAGUUUUAUUCUGGAAAUGCUGAGUUAAAAUGUCAUCAAAGGUGCCAGUAGACAGGACUAAUUUCAAGAGUUUUGGGCAGCAGAUGGUCAUCCAAACAAAAACUCACCCUAUUCCUUGCAGAUGGCACCUUAUAGACGGCACCACCCAGGGAUAGUACAAUGUGUGUGCUUGGGGUAAACAACCCCCCACCUCACAAACACAUAUAUCAUUACCAGUAAGGCUAGGAAAUAGUCAAGCUCUAACAUUUGGAAUAUUUACGUAUCUGUCAGUCCCAUGCAGGGUUACUCCCCACAGUGACCCUUGUUGAAUGUGGAGGUCCCUUCAACUAAUCAGAGAGUGCUGAGAGUAUUUCUCUUAACAAUUGGCUUAUGGUAAACUACCCACCGAAAGCUUUCCUUUGUGGGCUGAAAUGUGAAUCUACUUCUUGCCUUCUCCCCUUUCAUUUGAAAAACAACUUUCCAUGAGUUCCCUUCUAAGAGAUGACUCCAGUCCAUUACUUUGCUACCUCAGAGUAGGAACUAAAAGGAAAAAGAAUAGAGCGGAAAUGGGUCUUAGAGAUCAUCCUCAUUCUACAGAUAAAGAAACUGAGGCUCAAAACAAAGGCAUAUUUAGACAAUGCUAAGGGCAGUUUCCUCCUCCUAUUUUAGGUCUUUUUUUAUUUCUUUAAGUAUUUCUAAAAUGAGAAGAGAACAUACCAAUAGCAUAGUGUCUUCAUUCCAGCUUUUGUAAACAGCGAUCUAGGGGAACACAAAACAUUGUGGUCUUGGCCUCUCUGUCUUGUGACAGUGCUUCCUAACAGUUAGUAAUAAAAUUUUAUUCAGGAUAUUGUGCUCAAUACUCACUGAAAAUGUCAGGCUGGUCGCUAAGAUGGACUUUCCAAAUUAGUAAGUGGGGGGUAAGUUGCUAAUCCUUUUAACGAACAUCUAUUUAUUUCAAGUAACUCAAAAGGCAUCUGAUUCAACCUUCAAUUCAAUGGAUUACUCUUAGAACACAACUGUCAGGAAGGUCUUUACUGAGACAUCGAGCAUAAGUCUUAACAAGGGCUUUGUCAUCAUUAUCAUCCUAACCAGAGGUAAAGAAUGAAAUAUUAUUAAUAAAAACAACCUAGCAUAAAACUUCUAGAAGAAAAGGUGGGCAGUAUGCUCUUUGACAUGAGUCUUAGCAGCAUAUUUUCAAAUACCAUGUCUUACCAGGAAAGGGAAACAAAAGAAAAAAUAAACAAAUGGGACUACAUCAAACUAAAAAACUCUGCACAGCAAAGGAAACCACCUACAAAAUGAAAAGACAACCUGACAAUUGAGAGAAGAUAUUGUCAAACCGUAUAUUUGGUAAGGGGUUAAUAUCUGAAAUAUAUGCAUCUCAACAACAAAAAAAACAAACAAUCCAAUUAAAAAAUGGGCAAAAGAUCUGAACAGACAUUUGUCCAAAGAAGAUAUACAGAUGGCCAACAGGCACAUGAAAAGAUGUUCAACAUCACUAAUUAUCAGGGAAAUGCAAAUCAAAACUACAAUAAAAUAUCACCUCACUCCCAUUAGAAGGGCUAUAAUUAACAAGACAGGAAAUAACAAGCAUUGGAGAGGAUGGAGAGAGAAGGGAACCCUCAUACACUGCUAGUGGGAAUGCAAACUGGUGCAGCCACUAUGGAAAACAGUAUGGAGAUUCCUCAAAAAAUUAAAAAUAGAAUACCAUAUGAUUCAGCUAUCACACUGCUGAGUAUUUAUCCAAAGAACAUGAAAAUAUGAAUCCAUAAAGAUAUUUGCACCCCUAUGUUCAUCACAGCAUUAUUCACAAUAGCCAAGACUUAGAAACAACCUAAGUGCCCAUCAAGGGAUGAAUGGAUAAAGAAGAUGUGGCAUAUAUACACAAUGGAAUACUACUUGGCUAUAAAAAAAGAUGAACUCUUGCCAUUUGUGACAACAUGGAUGGACCUUGAAGGUAUUAUGCUAGGUGAAAUAAGUCAGAUGGAGAAAGUCAAAUAUUAUAUGAUCUCACUCAUAAAUAGAAGAUAAAAGCAACAACAAUAACAAGCGCAAACAUAGACACAGAAAUUAGAUUGGUUGUUACCAGAGGGGAAAAGGGAGGGAGGAGGACGGAAGGGGUGACUGGGCACAUGUGUGUGGUGAUGGAUGGUAAUUAGUCUUUGAGUGGUGAGUGUGAUGUAGUCUACAGAGAAAUCGAAAUAUAAUGAUAUACACCAGAAAUUUAUAUAAUGUUAUAAACCAAUGUUACCUCAAUAAAUAAGUAAAUAGAUAAAUAAAUAACAACCUAGCAGCUUGAGUCCCUUAUUCUUUAGGGUUUUAAAUCAAAAUCAAUGUGACUUUUUAAAGUAAACCCUAGGUAGAGUUUAAAAUGCUGAAUGUGCAUGAAUUAUGCAUGUGCACAAGGUCUACAGCCUCAGGUGCAUUGUUAGUAAAUCAAAUGCCAUAAAUAUAAAUCCAUUCCAAUAGCUUGUUUGAGGUGACUGGGGCUGCUGCCCCACGCAACACAGCAUUAACACAGUGGGUAGGAAGAGCACUGCUCGCAUCGAGAGAUGCUGGUACUUGUAGGUCAGAAGCAGUCCAGUGACGAUGCUCUUAAUAAAAGCGAAAGCAAUGAUGAUUGAGAACACUUCCAAACCAUUUAACAAUUUGGCCACAUCAUUUUUUUGAAUUCCAAUUAUGUGAAAGUUACUUUUAGACUCAAAAAUGAAGAAGAUUGGAUUCUGUCCCUACAAUAAAUCAUAAUCCACUGGGUGAUUAGCACGUCUAAUUAUAACAACACAAAACAAAGAAGGAGCAGUGGGAGAGGUCAUCAGCUCAAUUCAAAUUGGCCUAGUUUACUUUCCUUCUGGUCCCAGAGAAAAUGUUUGUGAUGUUUAGUGUUCUCCAAAUUUAUUUGUUUGCGAGCUUACAUGACUAUUGUGUAACAAACCAGUGGCCUGAAGUUAUUUACCAUAAAAUUUAAGAACUUAAAGGUCAUCUACUCCAAACUGGUCUUUUCAAAGUUGUGAAAACCAAGGCUGAGAGAGUUUAAUGUCAUAGAAUAAUUGAUCAUGUUAUUAACCUUAUGUAUGCGCACAUAUAUUCAAGCAUAUUUAUAUACUUACGUAUAAUAUUUAAAUACAUGAUAUAAUGUAUAUAACUAUCAUAUAUCAUAUAUAACAUAUGAUGAAUAUUUAUAUAUGAUUUUAUGUGUCUAUAUAUGUAUGAGUAGAUAGAUAGAUAUAGAUAUGUAAUUGCUAGCAGAUCAGUCAAUUGUAUUACAUUAGAACCAACUACAUUUUUAUCCAAGGCAUCAUUUGCCAAAAGAGCUGCUUCAUUUGUUUUUGUGUCUCUUCUUUCUUGAACCCCAAGAGUAAAAUGAAUUCUCUUGAGAAGUCUGGGAAGAAUAAGCAAUGAAAGAUAGAAUUUCCAUGGUCCUCAGAAAGUAAUAUCAUCCAGGCGAAGUAAUAUUUAUUACCCAACCAUCAUUUCUUCUGGAACACAUAUCAAAUAAGCUGUCCUGGGGGAGACAUGAGGCUGUAGGAAAAAGCAAAGAAAAAUCAAAUCGAUUUCUUAGACUGGGACAUGGAGACCACUUUCAGAGGCUUCAGAAGGUGAGAACAAAGCACUGACUUGUCCUCAGGAAAAACCAUAAGGUUGAUGGAUCCGAAUGACGCCUGUACAACUAAAGCCAGAGCAGGAAGGAAGUCCCUGGAAAGAGAAAUUUUAUUACUUCCUCACUUCAUAUUGAAAAAAUUGAGAAAGUACAACUUAUCUCAGCAGGCGCAGAAUAAUUGCCAAUUCUCCUCAGAUAGUAAAACCCAACUUAUUCAUCAAAAACAAGUAAGGCCAGGGCCAGCCUGGUGGUGUAGCAGGUAAGUUCACUCGUUCCACUUUGGUGGCCUGGGGUUCGCCGUUUCAGAUCCUGGGUGCAGACCUAUGCACUGCUUGGCAAGCCAUGCUGUGGUAGGCGUCCCACAUAUAAAAUAGAGAAAGAUAGGCACAGAUGUUAUCUCAGGGCCAGUCUUCCUCAGCAAAAAGAGGAGGAUUGGCAGCAGAUGUUAGCUCAGAGCUAAUCUUCCUCAAAAAACAAAAAAAAACAAGCAAGGUCAUAGUUUGAGUGGUAGAGAAGGGAUGAUAUGGGUUUUGAAUCCAGACCUAGGAUUAAAUUCUCUUGAUGUUAUAUCACCUUGGACACAUUAAUUAAUCUCACUGAGCCUCAAUCUUCUAGGCCAUCAAAUGAGAAUUAAAAAAUUACUUCAAAACGUUUUUCAAAGUUUAAAUAGAACAAAGUGUGUGGAACAUACUCAGUAAAUACAAAAUCCCUCUUCCUCUCUUCACAAACCACCAUUAGUUCAUUAAUUUAAUCAACUGAUGUUUAUUGAACCUUGUACUCCACACCAGGAACUCUGCUUGACAUAGGAGAUGUGGUGACAGAUGAGAGAGGCAUAGCCCUGCCCUCAUGGAGCUUGUGGUCCAGGAGGAAAGAAUGACAGUUAAUGAGUAAUUAAGUAAGAAGAUUGGUAUAAAGUCAACAAUAUUUGGUGGCGUAAUGGCAUGUUAUGAAACAAAUACGAAAAACUUUAACUAAAAUGCAAAGGGGUUUUUUUAGAAAUAACUGAAGAAGAAGCAUUAUAUAGCCAAAUAGUAUCAUCCACCUAUUAAUAAGUUCUGUAUUGUUUAUCAAAUUAAUUUGAAUAUCUUCUUUUCCAACUGCCAAAUCUCUAUGAAAACAUUUACCUUUGGUUUUCCCAUAUGGCACAUUGAAAGCUAUCUACAUACUACCGAAAUACAGGGAACUGUUUUCUCAUUUUUUUUUCUUCUCUACUCUUGUUCUCAUUUUCCUAGACAUAUACCCCCUCGUUUUUAUCUUUUUUUUUCCUGAGGAAGAUUCACCCCGAGCUAACAUCUGUGCCAAAUUUUCUCUACUUUGCAUGUGGAUUGCCACCACAACAUGACCGCCAACACGUGGUGUAGGUCUGUGCCUGGCCACUGAAGCAGAAUGCACCAAACUUAACCACUAGUACACAGAGCCAGCCCCACACGUGCCAUUUUUAAGAGCUAAAAUCUACUUCUAACUUUUAAGUGCUAGGUACAUGCCGGGCAUUUUAAAUACAUCAUCUGUGAUCCUAAGAGCAACUCUAUAUGAUAAGAAUUCUUUCUAUUUUAUGAGUAAACUGAAGCUUAGAGUUAAAUAACUUGCUGUCAUUCAGCUGUCAUAACGUCACUUAACUGGCAAGCUGAGGACAUACAGAACAUGGUCUAACCAUCACAGAGGAUGUUCUCUAUUGAGCCAGAUAUAAAACUUUUGUUUGCUUGGUUGUGGGAAUGUCUAGGAGUUGGUAUCAUGAAGACUGGGGUAGUCUUGGGCUUCAGGCAACAAAGAUUUACCAAUGGGGUAAUUAACCUCUGUGAACCAUAUCUUUUUGCCUUAUUAUCCCAACUCAAGUGCAAACAUUUUUCUAGGUCAAGACUAGCGUCUAAAAAUAUUUUGUAUCUUGAUUUAAUUUUGAGUGUAUAAAACGCAGAUCCUUAUGUACAACAGACAACCAAUAAAUAUGUGCCAACCGAUUAAGAGAUGAGAAAUGAUGUACUUACCUACAUAUCAUUGAUUUUAUAUAUGCCAUUAUUCCUAUAUCUGAAGAAAACAGAAUUUGCUUACUGUCUAAGUGUUAGUUAAAAUGACUGAUCUUUUUUUUUAUAUUAGAGGUUUUAUAGAAACACUUAUCCCUAAUGUAUGGAAAGUUUUCAUUUCUUGUCGAUGUUUUCUCUGAACAGGUUUUGCCUUUUGCCUUUGGAGGUGGUUCAAAUGGAAACAGCUGUAAUCAAUUAAGAUGCGGUGAUUUCAGAUAACCCACUCUCUUUCUUUACAUGGUGACUGGUUAUCCAACCAGGGGCUGGUGAUAAAAGUGUGCUUAAGAGAAAUAAAUUAGUAGCGGUAGAUUUGUCUGGAUAAGUUGAAGCCGGUAUCAGUCAUACCUGAUUUUGACUGCAUCUCAGCCAUAGGAAUAAAAAAUGAAGUUUUAUGAUAAAAUCAGUCAAUACACUUUUUUUCAUGAAAUAAACUAAAAAGUUACUGACAACACCCAAUCACUUGUCACAUUAGCCCAGAACCAUUUACUAUGAUACUUUUCACUAUAGGAAUGAUUGAUAGAAAAUCUCUAUCAUACACAAUAAUGUUCCAGACCUAGCAAUCCUUUUACAGCCUGUCAUUGUCCCCAGGAUCCUUUCCAAAUUUUUUUUAACAGGACUUACAAUGCUCUUUGUGACAAGAUGUAAUUGAAAGCGCUCAAGCUGUAAAGUCCGAUAGAUAGUGUUAUAAAUCCCAGUUCGUCUUUGCCAGUUGUGUGCUCUCAGGCAAAUUCCAUAAUGUGGAAUAGACUUGAACAUACUUCCCUGUUUUAAAGAUAGGAAUACUGGUACUUAUCUCAUAGAACUGUUUUGAGGAUUCAAGAGAUUGUACAUAAAGAGCCUAACAUCUCCCAACACAUAAUAGGUCUAACAAAAAUGUAGCUUUCCUUUUCUUUUUUAUUCCCCCUCAUCAAUAUAACAGCACAUGAGAAUGUUCAUAUUUGCUUCUGGUUUCUAAAUAUCGUGAUGUGAUUAUGGCUUGGAUUUGACUAAAACUAUGCUUACCUUCUGAAAAGGACCUGGUACCUUCAAAUACAAUUUCGGCCUUUCAGAGAUAGGUUGAAAUAACAAGGACUUUGGAGAAAUGCAACAAGACUGAACAACUGAUACAAAAACUUUUAUUAUUUUUUGAGUCUUUAAAGCACAAAACUCAUUUUUGAUGCAUUCUUUAAAAUCCACCACCAUAUUACACAUUUGUCCAUUGGCAUGUGAAAACAUUCUUCUGUCUCACCCCUUAGUUUCUGGGACCAUCAAAAAAUAAAAUAGAAUCUUAAAAAGCAAAGAGAAAAACAUAGUCAAAGACUGAUUUUCCUUCCUAUUUCAUUCAAGAAAGAAUUACUGAGUCCUGACUCAAUGCCAUGCGCUACUCAGGGAUGUGGGGAGGCAUCAAUGACCUCAGGGAGCUUACGUUCUAGUUGGGGAAGACAAACAUAAAUAACAAGUAAAUAUUAGUAUAUAACACAUUAAAAGGUGACAUAUGAAGACUAGCCUGGUGGUGUGGUGGUUAAGUUUGUGCACUCUGCUUCAGCAGCCCAGGGUUCAUGGGUUUGGAUCCCGGGCAUGGACCUACACACUGCUCAUCAAGCCAUGCUGUGCUGGCAGCAUCCCACAUACAAAAUACAGCUAACACAGAUGUUAGCUCAGGGCCAGUCUUCCUCAACAACAACAAAAGGUGACGAUACGAAAAGAAAACAAAGCAAGACAAGGAAGAUUAGAAGUGUAUGGACAAGGGGGAAGUGUAAUUUUAAAUAAAGUGGUCAAGGUAGGUAUCCAUGAGCAAAGAUUUGAAGGACUUGAGGAGAGAGCCAUGGAGAUUUUUGGGAGCAGGGCCAACUUAUCCAGUAGGCACAGCAGGCAUAGUGCUGAGGGACCACCAGACUUUUGGAAGCCUACAAAAAUAUUUGACUUGUUGUUAAAAUCAGAAGAAAAAAAAUGAACUCAAAGUUGAAGAAAAUGUUUAAAUUUUUUUGUUUUGAGGAAGAUUAGCCCUGAGCUAACAUCUGCCACCAAUCCUCCUCAUUUUUGCUGAGGAAGACUGGCUCUGAGCUAACAUCCGUACCCAUCUUCCUCUACUUUAUAUGUGGGACGCCUGCCACAGCAUGGUGCCUAGGUCCACAGCCAGGAUCCGAAUCAGCAAACCCCUAGCCACCAAAGCAGAACGUGUGAACUUAACCACUGUGCCACCAGGUCAGCCCCAAAAUAUUUAAAUUUUUAACACAAACUGG
Equus caballus (horse) is the source of this 10419-nucleotide long non-coding RNA. The record is from Ensembl. Lineage: Eukaryota; Metazoa; Chordata; Mammalia; Perissodactyla; Equidae.